GAGACGCACGGUCCUGUGUAAUCCUCACCAUGUAAGGUUCAGACAUUAGCAGGUCUGUUAGUUUUGUGCAUUAGAUACAAACUCUCGAUGACUGUUCGUCUCUUGAUUUUAGACUUCCAAAGAGAUGCCAUGUCAGGCUGCUGAUGUGGACAAAUGCAGUUCCUUUGCAGUCAUUCCAAAGACUUCCAAAGAGAAGCCAUGUCAGGCUGCUGAUGUGGACA
Cyprinus carpio carpio is the source of this 221-nucleotide long non-coding RNA. Lineage: Eukaryota; Metazoa; Chordata; Actinopteri; Cypriniformes; Cyprinidae. The record is from Ensembl.